UACGAAGGGGGCUAGCGUUGUUCGGAUUUACUGGGCGUAAAGCGCACGUAGGCGGACUAUUAAGUCAGGGGUGAAAUCCCGGGGCUCAACCCCGGAACUGCCUUUGAUACUGGUAGUCUUGAGUUCGAGAGAGGUGAGUGGAAUUCCGAGUGUAGAGGUGAAAUUCGUAGAUAUUCGGAGGAACACCAGUGGCGAAGGCGGCUCACUGGCGCGAUACUGACGCUGAGGUGCGAAAGCGUGGGGAGCAAACAGG
This 253-nucleotide ribosomal RNA is filed under the name uncultured bacterium. RNAcentral describes it as "partial 16S ribosomal RNA". It matches the Rfam family "Bacterial small subunit ribosomal RNA", at positions 524 to 776 of the family's 1533-position model. The record is from RNAcentral.